GAUGAAGAACGUAGCGAAAUGCGAUAAGUAGUGUGAAUUGCAGAAUUCCGUGAAUCAUCGAAUCUUUGAACGCACAUUGCGCCUUCUGGUAUUCCGGAAGGCAUGCCUGUUCGAGAGUCAUUAACAACCGUUUCGAUCCCUCUCUUUCAGAAAUUACAAAGAGGAAAAGGGUUUGGUUAUGGUGGAGGAGGGAAAGGGAGCGUUUAGCCUGUAAAAAAAGAGGCUGUGUUCCGCCUCCCCCCCACAAUUGUACCGGCGGUCGUGUGCGCCCACGCAUCGAGGUGUUGUAAAAGCUGCCACGGCACUUUUCACCUGUGCAGUGCGAGAUUGGCCAGCCGGUGUAAAAACCCCUCCAAACAAUCAAAGGUUGACCUCGGAUCAGGUAGGGAUACCCGCUGAACUUAAGCAUAUCAAUAAGCGGAGGA
This 425-nucleotide unclassified non-coding RNA is filed under the name soil metagenome. RNAcentral's name for it is "partial contains 5.8S ribosomal RNA, internal transcribed spacer 2, and large subunit ribosomal RNA". The stretch from base 1 to 120 matches the Rfam family "5.8S ribosomal RNA", at positions 35 to 154 of the family's 154-position model. The record is from RNAcentral.